GGGGGACCUUCGGGCCUCUUGCCAUCGGAUGUGCCCAGAUGGGAUUAGCUAGUAGGUGGGGUAACGGCUCACCUAGGCGACGAUCCCUAGCUGGUCUGAGAGGAUGACCAGCCACACUGGAACUGAGACACGGUCCAGACUCCUACGGGAGGCAGCAGUGGGGAAUAUUGCACAAUGGGCGCAAGCCUGAUGCAGCCAUGCCGCGUGUAUGAAGAAGGCCUUCGGGUUGUAAAGUACUUUCACCGGGGAGAAAGGGAUUGAAGGUAAUCCAUUUGGAAAGGGGCGAAAAGCCCCCACUUA
This 300-nucleotide ribosomal RNA is filed under the name Escherichia coli. RNAcentral's name for it is "bacterial SSU rRNA". It matches the Rfam family "Bacterial small subunit ribosomal RNA", at positions 194 to 500 of the family's 1533-position model. Lineage: Bacteria; Pseudomonadati; Pseudomonadota; Gammaproteobacteria; Enterobacterales; Enterobacteriaceae. The record is from RNAcentral.